This 254-nucleotide long non-coding RNA is filed under the name Fukomys damarensis (Damara mole-rat). Its description in RNAcentral is "lncRNA (ENSFDAG00000026703.1)". Lineage: Eukaryota; Metazoa; Chordata; Mammalia; Rodentia; Bathyergidae. The record is from RNAcentral.
CUACAUUGCUGCUUUGAGCAGUUGUUCAGGAGAAUCCAAUGGUGAAGAGAUCAUUGCCAUUGUCUAAAUAUAGGCUUGUGCUUUUCUGCUUCUCUGCUUGUAACGUCGUGGCUGUCAUCCUGUCUUUUUACAGGCUGUCCAGUGAACCAUGCUUCUACCAUUCUCUGCUUCCACCGUUGGCUUCUGAACCCAAUUGCAGAUGUGUCUCACUGUUCUCCUUGACUACACCAGCCAGGAACAUAGGUAUGAAAUAG